This 758-nucleotide ribosomal RNA is filed under the name Staphylococcus pseudintermedius. Its description in RNAcentral is "partial 23S ribosomal RNA". It matches the Rfam family "Bacterial large subunit ribosomal RNA", at positions 545 to 1308 of the family's 2925-position model. Lineage: Bacteria; Bacillati; Bacillota; Bacilli; Caryophanales; Staphylococcaceae. The record is from RNAcentral.
AGAACUUGAAACCGUGUGCUUACAAGUAGUCAGAGCCCGUUAAUGGGUGAUGGCGUGCCUUUUGUAGAAUGAACCGGCGAGUUACGAUCUGAUGCAAGGUUAAGCAGAAAAUGUGGAGCCGUAGCGAAAGCGAGUCUGAAUAGGGCGAAUGAGUAUUUGGUCGUAGACCCGAAACCAGGUGAUCUACCCUUGGUCAGGUUGAAGUUCAGGUAACACUGAAUGGAGGACCGAACCGACUUACGUUGAAAAGUGAGCGGAUGAACUGAGGGUAGCGGAGAAAUUCCAAUCGAACUUGGAGAUAGCUGGUUCUCUCCGAAAUAGCUUUAGGGCUAGCCUCAAGUGAUGAUUAUUGGAGGUAGAGCACUGUUUGGACGAGGGGCCCCUCUCGGGUUACCGAAUUCAGACAAACUCCGAAUGCCAAAUAAUUUAACUUGGGAGUCAGAAUGUGGGUGAUAAGGUCCAUAUUCGAAAGGGAAACAGCCCAGACCACCAGCUAAGGUCCCAAAAUAUAUGUUAAGUGGAAAAGGAUGUGGCGUUGCCCAGACAACUAGGAUGUUGGCUUAGAAGCAGCCAUCAUUUAAAGAGUGCGUAAUAGCUCACUAGUCGAGUGACACUGCGCCGAAAAUGUACCGGGGCUAAACAUAUUACCGAAGCUGUGGAUUGUCCUUUGGACAAUGGUAGGAGAGCGUUCUAAGGGCGUUGAAGCAUGAUCGCAAGGACAUGUGGAGCGCUUAGAAGUGAGAAUGCCGGUGUGAGUA